RNAcentral lists this ribosomal RNA (1478 nucleotides) under uncultured bacterium. RNAcentral describes it as "bacterial SSU rRNA". It matches the Rfam family "Bacterial small subunit ribosomal RNA". The record is from RNAcentral.
AGAGUUUGAUCAUGGCUCAGGAUGAACGCUAGCGGCAGGCUUAACACAUGCAAGUCGAGGGGUAACGGGGAAGCUUGCUUCCGCCGACGACCGGGGCACGGGUGCGUAACGCGUAUACAAUCUACCUUAUACUGGGGUAUAGCCUUUAGAAAUGAAGAUUAACCCCCCAUAGUCUCUUAGAGUGGCAUCAUUUUUAAAGUAAAGGUUACGGUAUAAGAUGAGUAUGCGUUCUAUUAAUUUGUUGGUGUGGUAACGGCACACCAAGACUACGAUAGAUAGGGGCCCUGAGAGGGGGAUCCCCCACACUGGUACUGAGACACGGACCAGACUCCUACGGGAGGCAGCAGUGAGGAAUAUUGGACAAUGGAGGCAACUCUGAUCCAGCCAUGCCGCGUGUAGGAUGACUGCCCUAUGGGUUGUAAACUACUUUUAUACAGGAAGAAACACCUCUACGAGUAGAGGCUUGACGGUACUGUAAGAAUAAGGAUCGGCUAACUCCGUGCCAGCAGCCGCGGUAAUACGGAGGAUCCAAGCGUUAUCCGGAAUCAUUGGGUUUAAAGGGUCCGUAGGUGGAUAAUUAAGUCAGAGGUGAAAUCUUGCAGCUCAACUGUAAAAUUGCCUUUGAUACUGGUUAUCUUGAGUUAUUAUGAAGUAGUUAGAAUAUGUAGUGUAGCGGUGAAAUGCAUAGAUAUUACAUAGAAUACCAAUUGCGAAGGCAGAUUACUAAUAAUCAACUGACACUGAUGGACGAAAGCGUGGGUAGCGAACAGGAUUAGAUACCCUGGUAGUCCACGCCGUAAACGAUGGUUACUAGCUGUUUGGACUUCGGUCUGAGUGGCUAAGCGAAAGUGAUAAGUAACCCACCUGGGGAGUACGUUCGCAAGAAUGAAACUCAAAGGAAUUGACGGGGGCCCGCACCAGCGGUGGAGCAUGUGGUUUAAUUCGAUGAUACGCGAGGAACCUUACCAGGGCUUAAAUGUAAGUUGCAUUAGUUAGAGAUAGCUAUUUCUUCGGACCACUUACAAGGUGCUGCAUGGUUGUCGUCAGCUCGUGCCGUGAGGUGUCAGGUUAAGUCCUAUAACGAGCGCAACCCCUGUUGUUAGUUGCCAGCGAGUCAUGUCGGGAACUCUAACAAGACUGCCAGUGCAAACUGUGAGGAAGGUGGGGAUGACGUCAAAUCAUCACGGCCCUUACGUCCUGGGCUACACACGUGCUACAAUGGUAGGGACAGAGAGCAGCCACUGGGCGACCAGGAGCGAAUCUAUAAACCCUAUCACAGUUCGGAUCGGAGUUUGCAACUCGACUCCGUGAAGCUGGAAUCGCUAGUAAUCGGAUAUCAGCCAUGAUCCGGUGAAUACGUUCCCGGGCCUUGUACACACCGCCCGUCAAGCCAUGGAAGUUGGAAGUGCCUGAAGUCCGUCACCGCAAGGAGCGGCCUAGGGUAAAGUCGAUAACUAGGGUUAAGUCGUAACAAGGUA